RNAcentral lists this ribosomal RNA (466 nucleotides) under uncultured bacterium. RNAcentral's name for it is "partial 16S ribosomal RNA". It matches the Rfam family "Bacterial small subunit ribosomal RNA", at positions 28 to 505 of the family's 1533-position model. The record is from RNAcentral.
GACGAACGCUGGCGGCGUGCUUAACACAUGCAAGUCGAACGGAAAGGCCCUGCUUUUGUGGGGUGCUCGAGUGGCGAACGGGUGAGUAACACGUGAGUAACCUGCCCUUGACUUUGGGAUAACUUCAGGAAACUGGGGCUAAUACCGGAUAGGAGCUCCUGCUGCAUGGUGGGGGUUGGAAAGUUUCGGCGGUUGGGGAUGGACUCGCGGCUUAUCAGCUUGUUGGUGGGGUAGUGGCUUACCAAGGCUUUGACGGGUAGCCGGCCUGAGAGGGUGACCGGCCACAUUGGGACUGAGAUACGGCCCAGACUCCUACGGGAGGCAGCAGGGGGGAAUAGUGCACAAGGGGCGGAAGCCUGAUGCAGCAACGCCGCGUGCGGGAUGACGGCCUUCGGGUUGUAAACCGCUUUCGCCUGUGACGAAGCGUGAGUGACGGUAAUGGGUAAAGAAGCACCGGCUAACUACG